UAGGGAAUAUUGCGCAAUGGACGCAAGUCUGACGCAGCAACGCCGCGUGAGUGAAGAAGGCCUUCGGGUUGUAAAGCUCUGUCUAGUGGGAAGAACAGCCGAUGGGUUCACAGCCCACCGGUCUGACGGUACCACUGGAGGAAGCACCGGCUAACCUCGUGCCAGCAGCCGCGGUAAUACGAGGGGUGCAAGCGUUAAUCGGAAUUACUGGGCGUAAAGCGUGCGCAGGCGGUUUUGUAAGACAGGCGUGAAAUCCCCGGGCUCAACCUGGGAACUGCCUUUGUGACUGCAUGGCUAGAGUACGGUAGAGGGGGAUGGAAUUCCGCGUGUAGCAGUGAAAUUCGUAGAUAUUGGGUGGAACACCAGUGGCGAAGGCGGCCAUCUGGCACAGUACUGACGC
RNAcentral lists this ribosomal RNA (400 nucleotides) under uncultured bacterium. RNAcentral's name for it is "bacterial SSU rRNA". It matches the Rfam family "Bacterial small subunit ribosomal RNA", at positions 355 to 746 of the family's 1533-position model. The record is from RNAcentral.